RNAcentral lists this long non-coding RNA (1752 nucleotides) under Homo sapiens (human). RNAcentral describes it as "long non-coding RNA NONHSAT213972.1". The record is from RNAcentral. Lineage: Eukaryota; Metazoa; Chordata; Mammalia; Primates; Hominidae.
CUUCUAUCAGCCCCCAUCAGCCCUCCUUUCUCCUCACCUGCCCUCGGAGGGUCAUGUGUGGUUCCAUGACCCACCAACCCCUGUGGCUGGGCAGGGCGGGGCAGACAUCUAUCUGGUGGCUCCAGGCUCAACCGGCUCCGUGCAGCUCACUGCGCUCUUUUGGGGAGACACAGGCCGAGUAGGGAAGGUCUGAGCCGGCAGCUCUUGAGACAGAAAGAGAAGGGAACUGUUCUCCCGCAGGCUGCACUAUGCAUGUUACAUGCCGUGAGCACAAGCAGACGCUGCGUAAACAGGCUGGCUCUGCAGGGCAUGAAGAAGGCUGCUCUGAGCUAGGGCCACACGGCACCUGCUGGGACACAGGGAGGGGUGGGGAGUCCUGGAAGAUGAGUGACCCUCAGGGAGAGGAGGAGACUCCUGUUGGAGAGCACACAGAUUUCCUGGGGUCUAUGCCGGGCUGGAAGGCUGGCCAUCUUAAGGCUGCAUUUGUUCCCGAACCUAAGGACCAUGGGAGCCACGCAGCCAGAGGGGGUGUGAUCAGAUGUGUGUUCUGGUUGGAUGGCUCUUGUGGCUGUGUGCAGAAUGAAAGGAGGAGUUGGACUUGGCCAUUAAGUCCACGAUGGCAGAGGAAGCAGGUGCCAUGGGAGAAGGACCUUGGAUACAUGCCCAGGAAGGUGAGUAGGGGUCUGCCAGAGACCAGGGCCUGAAACGGCUCUGCUCUCUGUUCUUUUUUUUUUUUUUUUUUGAGACUUGAGUCUUGCUCUGUCGCCCAGGCUGGAGUGCAGUGGCGCCAUCUCGGCUCACUGCAAACCCCGCCUCCCGGGUUCACGCCAUUGUCCUGCUUCAGCCUCCUGAGUAGCUGGGACUACAGGCGCCCACCACCACGCCUGGCUAAUUUUUUGUAUUUUUAGUAGAGACGGGGGUUUCACCGUGUUAGCCAGGAUGGUCUCGAUCUCCUGACCUCGUGAUCUGCCCGCCUUGGUCUCCCAAAGUGCUGGGAUUACAGGCAUGAGCCACUGCGCCCGGCCUGCUCUCUGUUCUUAAGCUUGUAAAUAACAAAACCAGGAGAUGUGGGCUGAACGGUUUAGUGUAGUGAUCAACAGCAGCAUAAUCGCGGUGCCCAAGUACUGCUAAGUGCUAAGCAUGGAGGUAAGGUCAGUGAUUAGAAUGCGUUUUAUAGUCCAAGCUGGCGUGGAGGAGCCUUGCAUCAUCUUUGUCCCCCGACCCACAUAGCUUCAUUUGGCUGGUACAGCUGCUGGUGCUCCAUGCUGGCAGGAAUAGAAUUAUUAUGGGGCCUCAGCAGGGUGGGCGCUGAAGAAGAAAUUGGGGGCUUUGGGCAGAUUGAGUCACAGUAAAGCUAUUGAUCUUUGAGCACAGACUGUGCUACAUUUUCAUGAUUUCAGUGAAUCCUCACAACCACGGGCAGCGCACAGAUGAGCAAACAGGAUCAGGACAAUGAAGUGUUUAUAGCCAAGUAAUUCCAACCUCUUAGCCAAGACCAGAGCUAAAAGGGCACCUUCAUCACACCGCCGACGUUGACCCCAGGCUGACAAAUGUGACCUGCUUCCGUUGGUCUUUGAAUCCUCAUUUCUAUUUGCUUUUCAACUUUAUUGUAUAUAUCUUUUAUGUAACUUACUUCAAGUUAUUUUGUAGGGAAAUGUGUAAAAAACCCCUGCUUUUUGGGAUCAUGAAAAUAUUUCAAAGUUAGAUUAUGGUGAUGGUUGCCCAACUUUGUAAAUAUACUAAAGAUCGUUC